UACGGAGGGGGCUAGCGUUGUUCGGAAUUACUGGGCGUAAAGCGCGCGUAGGCGGACCUGCAAGUCGGGGGUGAAAGCCCGAGGCUCAACCUCGGAACUGCCUUCGAUACUGCGGGUCUCGAGUCCGUGAGAGGUGAGUGGAAUUCCUAGUGUAGAGGUGAAAUUCGUAGAUAUUAGGAAGAACACCAGUGGCGAAGGCGGCUCACUGGCCCGGUACUGACGCUGAGGCGCGAAAGCGUGGGGAGCAAACAGG
RNAcentral lists this ribosomal RNA (253 nucleotides) under uncultured bacterium. Its description in RNAcentral is "partial 16S ribosomal RNA". It matches the Rfam family "Bacterial small subunit ribosomal RNA", at positions 524 to 776 of the family's 1533-position model. The record is from RNAcentral.